RNAcentral lists this ribosomal RNA (253 nucleotides) under uncultured bacterium. Its description in RNAcentral is "partial 16S ribosomal RNA". It matches the Rfam family "Bacterial small subunit ribosomal RNA", at positions 524 to 776 of the family's 1533-position model. The record is from RNAcentral.
UACGUAGGGUGCAAGCGUUGUCCGGAAUUAUUGGGCGUAAAGAGCUCGUAGGCGGUUUGUUGCGUCGGCUGUGAAAUCCCGAGGCUCAACCUCGGGUCUGCAGUCGAUACGAGCAAACUAGAGUGUUGCAGGGGAGACUGGAAUUCCUGGUGUAGCGGUGAAAUGCGCAGAUAUCAGGAGGAACACCGGUGGCGAAGGCGGGUCUCUGGACAGUUCCUGACACUGAGGCACGAAGGCCAGGGGAGCAAACGGG